Molecule: long non-coding RNA, 1921 nt
Filed under: Anas platyrhynchos platyrhynchos (common mallard)
Lineage: Eukaryota; Metazoa; Chordata; Aves; Anseriformes; Anatidae
Description: lncRNA (ENSAPLG00000026635.1)
Source: RNAcentral
GCCUGCUUCUACUGUUUUCAGAUACUCACUGGCACAGGGAACUUGGGUGUUACAUUUCCCCUAAACCCUGCUCCAUCGCUUUAACAUCAAGGUCCUAAUUUUGAUAACAUUUGACAUAGAGAUGAAGGCAUAAGGUCACAUUCACAGUAAGCCCUAUAAUUCUGCAAAAAUCUUAAGAGACCUAGAACCACAAAGAAAAAACACAAAGUAACAUCAUCUUCCCAUGCAUAAGCAUGCUCUAAAAAUUAGUCACCUGAAGAAGAGCUGCAUGCAGUAAAGACAUCUAUUACUAUAUAGUUUGCUUUACUCUAAAAGACCCUACUAGCUGUUACCUCAAAAAGACAUGCUUACCUUUCUCAACUUAGAAACACAUUAACCCAUACAUUCUGAACCACCUAAAGAACCCUGCAACUGGCUGAAGAAAAAAACAAAACAUGUUCCUCCCCUCCAUCAAAGCACAGACAGACAGAAAGAGCUUUCUAGUGGGACACCUGCAGCUUAUAUACUAUUAGACCCACCUGGCACCCAACCAAUCACCUGGGAAAGGGGUGGGGCAAAGCAAAAAAAAAAAAAAAAAAAAAAAAAAAAAAAAAAAAAAAAAAAAAAAAGUAGAAAUCAAGCAGGAUGAGCAGCAGCUAUGUUGUUUUUGUUUAUUUGGCUUAGCUCAACAGUGUGCAAAGCCCAGUACAGAGAACUAGGCUGUUUGUAGAAGCAGUAAUUCUCAUGCUUUUGCUUCAGCUUUUAAUAUUGGAAGGACAACAUGACCAAAUAAAAGCUAUACAGGCCUCCCCAUCAUUCAAAGAGACAAGACAAAACACAAAAUUGAAAACAAACAAGCAAAUAAAACAAACAAACCAAAAAGAAAAUAUUGUAAGAGAAGAUAAUGCAACAGUCAAAUUUUACAAACCAGGUCUUGCUUAAGGAUCUGGAGGAAUGACAUCCUGACAGAAAUCCUCCAGGUGAUGCCACGUGCUCCCACCAUAGCUGAGAAGAACUGCUUUAAUAGGUAUUUCUGGACUAAAACCCUUGUUUUAGGACCUAGACAUGUGAAAAUUUGGAACAGGUAGAAAGGAUGAAAAAGAAUCAGUAAAGAAGCACACAGCGUGCAUGGGUUUCUUAGCAGAUAACAUGCUGGCAUCUUUCUUAGUAGAUGACAAAGACUUUUUGUGAGAUGUAGCAUAACCAUGUCACUCCCAGCGAAUCUACCAAACUUCACGCAUAAGAAAUUAGCAUGAGAAUAUGUUUAUUGAUACUGCGUGGCUCAAAAUAAUUUAUAAAAAGACCAAUGCCACAGACCAGAAUGAUUUAAUGAGGUGCUUUGUGCUCUCCUGGCCCCCUCCUCUUUCUUCUAGUGCCUAUGAACGCUAGCUGUCAGAAUUUUGUGGACCUUGUCCAAAGACAGAUUAGAGCAAAGAAGUUUUAACACUGACUUCAGCCAUCUUUGUAUGCACAUAGUAAUGCAGAUACAAUGUUGCCCUUCUUGCUUAAUAGACUUGACGCAUUUUCUUAUUUACCAGGAACAUUUUUAGUCAGCAGCCAAGAAUCUCCUUCUGACUGCAUUUAUAGAUAGAACUGAGAACUCUUUCACUCUAUAUGCUACAUAGUUUAUUUGUAUUUAUUAAGUCCCUAAUGAACAUUUAAGUCCACACUGAAAUGAAUGAUGCAUUUUAUUAAUUGUGUGUUGUUGUGUUUUUUUUUAUUAAUAGGAAAAUAGUAAAAUAAGAAUAAGCAUUGGCAUUAACACUUAAUAGCUAAAUUCAGACACAGCCUUUCUCAAAACAAUUUUAUCCAAAGAAAUACAAAAAACAUUUAUAUAAUACAAAUACAAUACAUCUUAUACAAAGAAAAUAUAUAUUUUGUUCCUUCUCCCCAUCCCUGUUUUUAGUCUCACCUCCCUUUACACCUUCGCUGACCAGAUGAU